UGAGCCCACAGAGGCUCUACGGGCGCGCGCCGCGUGGCUGAGCGAGCGGAAGCUGCAGCCUGGGACCAGAAGAAUCAGGAGGUGAGGUGCCGCCAAGCCGCCUCGAGGAAGUGCUAGCCAAGAAGUGCAAGUUCCUUUGAGAUCUGUCGCCUAUUGAUGUGCCGUUCAUCUGUUACUCCACAGCAUUUGUUGAACCACAUAGAGUCUCCAAUUCUCAGUUCCUUGGACCAGAAAGAUGGAAUUUCUAUCAGAGUUUUAGCUACCCAUGCUGCCAAACAGUCCCAAGGAGGCCUCUCCUCAGGACACAGCUGCAAGACAGAAGAGUGGGGGAAAGCCAGGCAACUCAAUUGCCUUGCAGGACCAGUGCAGCCUAAAGGAGCCCUUAUUAGGGCUGAAGACCAGGUCUUGGAGCCCAACAGGCUUCCCAGUGCCAUAUGAAGAGAAUGAUGCUGGGAGGUUUAGUAACCCUGGAUGGAGCCAGCCUGGAACCGAUGGUCUGCAUGGGCAGUAGGUAGCAAGCAACGACGGAACAGUGCCUAGAGGGUACCCUCUGAUGACAGUGGAGGAAAGGAGAGGCCACAUAAAGCAGCCAUCUGGAUCACCGUCUUCAUCUGUUCGGUCUUUCCCAGGACUCACUAGGAACAUCUAUGGCAUGCCAAGCUUGGUAGCUCACCUCAGGGCAGCCCCUCACAACCUUGGUGCACGUCAGGAUCACCUGAGGAACAGAGCUCUGGGAAUGGUGGUUCUCACAAGCUCCCCAGGUGACUUUGACACAAGUUGUCCACUGACCCCACAAUAAGAAACCUACUCUUGAAAAAGGUUUUAAACCCCAAGUUGGUCUCUUUUUGACACCAUCAUAUUAUAUAGCUGAGUAAAUUUUUCUUAUUAAUAUAUGACUUUAUGGUAGAAUCAUAAUUAGUUUAAGAUUCUGAGUUGGCUAUUUGAAAAAUAAGUCUGGCACUUCACAUUUUCUAAAGAACAUAAUCUCCACAUUCUGAUUUUUUUAUGCUCUACUUAAAUAUCUUUUUCUCCAAUUCAAUUUCCAUCAAGGCAUAAGCAUAAUUUCUUAGUGGUGGGUAAUUACUGGGUUUGCAGCAUAUAGGUUGGAAAGAACUAAGGCUCAGAGGGACAGACUAGGUUCUAGCUCUCUGUGACCUUGAUAAAAACACUCCCUGGUGCUUCCCAUCUACCCAGAAAGAGAUCUAAAGAUAAAUCAGAAUGUAGAAGGUGGUUUGAAACUAGCAAGUAAAUAAAGAUUUGAGUUAUUUUUAUUGAAAAACUAAUCAGACAGAUCCUAAUAUUAUUAAUUAGAUUUUUACUCUACUUACGAACACAAAAAAGGAGAUAAAUAUUUGAAUCUUAGAGAUGUAUCUAUCAUUACAAAUUCCAGAGAACCUGGAAUAAAAUGUUAGGACAUCAUGGGGCCAGAUUCAAUGGGUUUAAUUGGUAAAGCCACAUACCAAAUAUUCCCAACCACACCACUGUAAUUCUACUAGGUAAGUUUUCAGUGUGCUUCUUGUUCUUUUCCUAUUUUGUUCAGUACAAAUCUCUUCCAAGAUAAGACAACCACAGUGAAUGUUCAAAGCUUAGCACAAAGUCAAUUUUUCUCAAUAAGCAAAUAUUUUCUUGGACCAAUUUAUGUAACAUGAGACUGAGGCAGUUAUGCUAGUUAUCCUGAUCUUUCUAUUCAUUUCUGGGCCCUUCAAAUUUUUAUUCUUUGGUCAGUUUUGUAAGAAAUCAUUCUUAUGAGAGUUUCAAAUUUAUUAUUAUGUAUUUUGAGCAUAUUACUUCUCAAAACUUUACCUGACUGCAAGUUCUCCUUUUCUCAAUUAAAAGUAUAUUAAUUUAUAUUCUUUUUCAAUUAUUAUUUAAAACUUAAAUUUUAAUAACAACUGUUAAAUAAAAAUGACUAGUUAUUUAAAAGUAAAAUUUCUUAGUUUUCCUUUAAGAAUUGACUUUAUAGAAAUUUACACAUUUAUUCUUUAGCAUUUCUCAGAAAACACCUAGCUACUUCUGCCCUAUUUGUAGCUAUAAUGGUGAGAAACACUGCUUUUUCUCAGCAGGUGUAACUACCCCAAAUGUAGCUAAAUCAGGAGGUAAGCAGGCCAAGCUGGUGAGGACAUAGAUACUCCCCACAUGCAGGGACACUUGAGCCUCAAGGAGCACAGGCCAAGGUUUAGUGCACUGUGCAGGCAGGAGGUUCAUCACUUCCAAAAAUAUCUGCUGAUCUGCAGAUACUAGGCCCCAGUUUGAAAGGUGAAUAAAUUUAGUAUUACAAACAAUCUUUUUUUCCUGCCCUCAAACACAGUAGCUCUGAUUAGAUUUAAAUAAGGGAGUCAGAAGUUCCUAAUCCUCCUCUAGGCGCUGGCACUGACAUUUAAUAAGGCAUUCACUGUUGAGAUGUCUUUCUUUUGUUUAAAACCAUACAAGGAAAUAUCUUCUA
Molecule: long non-coding RNA, 2443 nt
Organism: Hippopotamus amphibius kiboko
Lineage: Eukaryota; Metazoa; Chordata; Mammalia; Artiodactyla; Hippopotamidae
Exons: 5
Source: RefSeq, a predicted model, not a curated record